GUGCCAGCCGCCGCGGUAAUACGUAGGGUGCAGGCGUUAAUCGGAAUUACUGGGCGUAAAGCGUGCGCAGGCGGUCUUUUAAGUCAGAUGUGAAAUCCCCGGGCUUAACCUGGGAACUGCGUUUGAAACUGGAAGGCUUGAGUGUGGCAGAGGGGGGUGGAAUUCCACGUGUAGCAGUGAAAUGCGUAGAGAUGUGGAGGAACACCGAUGGCGAAGGCAGCCCCCUGGGCUAACACUGACGCUCAUGCACGAAAGCGUGGGGAGCAAACAGGAUUAGAAACCCCCGUAGUCC
This 292-nucleotide ribosomal RNA is filed under the name uncultured bacterium. RNAcentral describes it as "partial 16S ribosomal RNA". It matches the Rfam family "Bacterial small subunit ribosomal RNA", at positions 505 to 796 of the family's 1533-position model. The record is from RNAcentral.